UCCACAGAGCCGGGACCGAGCGAGCCGGCGAGCGACCGCGGUAAAGGUAUCGCGCCUUAGUCAGAGGCCACCAAUGUUGGGUUACAUUUUGUAGUAAAGUACCUUAUGAUCAUCUUUUGUAUUUGAUGAUUAGUGAUGUAAAGAAAGAAUGUAAAGCUCAUUUUGAGGUAAAUGUGAUGUAAGAAAGAAAUGAUGUAAUGAAUGUAAGAAUUCGAUAAAUUACUAGAUGAAUGCAGUGUAUAUGAUCUAAAGUGAAUCAUAUUACUUGUGAAUGUUUAGUUUCCUUUUUCUUUC
This 294-nucleotide long non-coding RNA is filed under the name Ananas comosus (pineapple). Its description in RNAcentral is "long non-coding RNA (ACOM_LNC036532)". The record is from RNAcentral. Lineage: Eukaryota; Viridiplantae; Streptophyta; Magnoliopsida; Poales; Bromeliaceae.